UACGAAGGGGGCUAGCGUUGCUCGGAAUGACUGGGCGUAAAGGGCGCGUAGGCGGAUGGCACAGUCAGAUGUGAAAUUCCUGGGCUUAACCUGGGGGCUGCAUUUGAUACGUGUUGUCUAGAGUGAGGAAGAGGGUUGUGGAAUUCCCAGUGUAGAGGUGAAAUUCGUAGAUAUUGGGAAGAACACCGGUGGCGAAGGCGGCAACCUGGUCCAGCACCGACGUUCAGGCACGAAAGCGUGGGGAGCAAACAGG
Molecule: ribosomal RNA, 253 nt
Filed under: uncultured bacterium
Lineage: Bacteria
Description: partial 16S ribosomal RNA
Rfam family: Bacterial small subunit ribosomal RNA
Source: RNAcentral